AUGCCAUGACUGAUGACUAAUUUAUUAUCAACCUAAUCUUGUUGCUCAUGCAGGAAGAGGGUGCAAUAGAGGCUUGCUUUGUAUCAAGGAGUCUGUCCCAUAUACAUGGAAUUUUGUGACGAUUCUGAAGCAACCUUCAAAAGAGCCUUAGACCUUCUGCUGAAGCAAGGAAUGGUGAAGGAAGGAGAAGAAGUAGCACUUGUACAAAGUGGUAGGCAACCCAUAUGGAGGUUCCAAUCCACGCACAAUAUCCAGGUUAGGAAAGUGUAAGCCAAAGGAAUGGAAAGUGACCACAAAUAAUGUUUCAAGUCACGGCAAAGUUUAGCAUCAUCUUUAGAGCAUCAUAGUUUGUUUGGUUUCUUUAGGUUUCAUAUUAUUCUCAUUAAAAUAUUAUUGCUAUUAUUUUUUUUUCCUCUGUAAUUUGGUUGUCUAAAUUUUAUUGAAAUUUUGGUUAAGAAGUUCAAAUCAGAAACAUGCUUCCAGUAUCAAGGAUUGACUUGUUUGUCACGCCAUGUUUGGAUGAAUGACAGUGAUUUCAGAAGUUAAAUUCUGGAACAGUAGUAACAUUUGAAUUUUUUAAUUUGAACGAUUAUGAAAAUUAAUUUUCGCAAAA
This is a long non-coding RNA of Vigna radiata var. radiata (mung bean), 613 nucleotides long. RefSeq lists it as uncharacterized. The transcript has 2 exons. NCBI's taxonomy places the organism in Eukaryota, Viridiplantae, Streptophyta, Magnoliopsida, Fabales, Fabaceae. The record is from RefSeq and is a predicted model, not a curated record.